GCAAGGGAAUCCUUUUGGAAAGUGUUUCUUCACUGAAAUAAGUUCGUUAAAUUUUGUUCUUUUUGCACUGUUAAAUAACAGAAAGGGUAGAAGAGCUAUAUUUUGUUUUGCUAUUUUGUUAACACUCUAAAGUAACAGACUUUUUAAAGCAAGUGCAAUAAAAGCUUGCCAGAAUAAUUAGAGAAAGUAUUUCUUUUGUAACUGCUGGCAGAAGUGAAGCAGAGCCAACCAGGAUUUCUUCCACCUACUUCAGCUGAAGAAAUAAAACCACACCAGAGCUGCUUUCCCAUGUGAAAUUGAAAAGACUCCACUUUUCAGCAGAACAUGAAGCUUUACUAUGAAGACCAGACGACUUUCUGAGAAUAUUAAGAUGCAUUUUCAUAACUGGACUCUCUGUCUCAGGAGAUUAUCUGACUUCUUCACCUCCUCCAGCUGUGAGUUCCCCCCUGCUUCUAUUAUUAUAUUCCAGGAGAAUCCUUUUUCAAUGGAACCUGCCUCUGUUAUGUGCUGAGAAAUUUCAUGCCCAAGGGGUGUGACAGGACAAGGAGAGGUGAUUUCAAGCUGAAAGAGGAAAGAUUUAAACUGUGUAUAAGAAAAAGAUUUUUAAGGAUUCCGAUGUUUUCUGACACCAUUGCACUCCCUGGCACAGGAGGGAUGAAUGGAACGGAAGCUCAUGUGUGGAAGAUUACUGAUUUUUGUAGCAUUGCAGACAGGAGCUGCCAGCAGGGAAGCUAAUACAUGAGGGGCUGAGGAGUGAGUGCUUUAGGAGGAAACCAUCUAGAUCUCUCAGACAGCUCAGUGUGUAAUUCUGGUAAUACUAUGGACUCUUUUCAUUCCACCUUCUGUAAUAAUUUAUGAGAGCUAAGAGACUGUAGUUAGUAAUGGGUCUACUAUGGCUAUUUUUCCUUGGAGCUAUAUCCUUAAUGGUAUUUUUAUACAACAUUUUUUUGCCUUUGUGAGCUGGACUGUUUUGCUGUGUGCUCAAAGCCCAUUGGGGCACAGUGUGGGUGGCUGUGGGUGCUGCACCUGUAGCAAAGUAGGGAUAUCCCAAAGCUCUGGAGAAGGGGAGGAUGUGCCCGGGGCCCUCUCACAUUUCACCAGGAGUUGUUCUCUUCUCUUGAUAAAUAAAUACUGAGUAUUAGGGUUCACUAAUAUUCCAAUAUCAAG
Long non-coding RNA from Lagopus muta (rock ptarmigan), 1167 nucleotides. RefSeq lists it as uncharacterized. The transcript has 4 exons. The record is from RefSeq and is a predicted model, not a curated record. NCBI's taxonomy places the organism in Eukaryota, Metazoa, Chordata, Aves, Galliformes, Phasianidae.